GACGAACGCUGGCGGCGUGCUUAACACAUGCAAGUCGAACGGAAAGGCCCUGCUUGCAGGGUACUCGAGUGGCGAACGGGUGAGUAACACGUGGGUGAUCUGCCCUGCACUUCGGGAUAAGCCUGGGAAACUGGGUCUAAUACCGGAUAGGAGCCAUUUUUAGUGUGAUGGUUGGAAAGUUUUUUCGGUGUAGGAUGAGCUGGCGGCCUAUCAGCUUGUUGGUGGGGUAAUGGCCUACCAAGGCGGCGACGGGUAGCCGGCCUGGGGGGGUGGGCGGCCACAUUGGGACUGAGGUGAGGCCCAAGCGCCGACGGGAGGCAGCAGGGGGGAAGAUUGCACAAUGGGCGCCAGCCGGAUGCAGCGGCGCCGCGGGGGGGAUGACGGCCUUCGGGUUGUAAACUCCUUUCGCUAGGGACGAAGCUUUUUGUGACGGUACCUAGAGAAGAAGCACCGGCUAACUACGUG
RNAcentral lists this ribosomal RNA (465 nucleotides) under uncultured bacterium. RNAcentral's name for it is "partial 16S ribosomal RNA". It matches the Rfam family "Bacterial small subunit ribosomal RNA", at positions 28 to 507 of the family's 1533-position model. The record is from RNAcentral.